AUGGCCCAGAAGCACUCUAGCUACAGAUUAGAAUGAUGACAAGAGUAAUACCUUCCUAGUGAAGAUGACUUUUAUUUCAGGACUAUAUUAAGUUUCCCAACUUCUGUCAUGAUAUAGUCCAAAGAGAACCUGGACCACGCAGACAUCAAACAGAACAUGACACUGACCCAUUCUAUCAGUGACGUUGUGCUGAUUGCACAGGACAGAUGAGAGGCUCGUAUACUAGAAGUCUUGUUUCACAUGUCCACAGAUGAAGAAAAAUUGUGCCCCAGCAAGGAUUAUACCCAGAGCCUCAUCCAUUCAUACCUGAUUUAGAUACUUAGAUGAUGAGUAAUAGAAAAGCAUCAUCUUUAUGUAAAUCACUGUACUUGGCUUCGUGAGAAAUAUAAAAAUGAAUUGCUUCAAUCCCUGGACUCAAGGAUCCUGUGUUACCAAGUCAUAUGAUACUUCAAAAUCUGUGAUUCCAUGAAGCCAAGAGUAGCUCUUCAACAGGAAAUGAAUGAGUGCUUCAGCUUCUGAUCCCAUUAGUAAGAAAAUACAGUCUUAUGAGCAAUGAUGGAGCUGCAUCUCUUAGGGGCAUUUGAUUCCCAAGAGACCAAAGAGCAAAGAGAAUGUCAAUUUAAAAAAAUCAAAUGUUUCCAUGACUUAGCUAUUUAACUGCUUUAAAAUGAAUGAAUGCUGCUUCAAGUUCUUUCAAAUACCCCACAUCUUGGCAACAACGAAAGGAAUUAACAUGAAGAAAAUUUACAAUCUUUCAUCACAUCGAACAAUGUCCCACAUUUGAAAAGUUCACAGCACAGAUUUCUGGUUACUGAAAGAAAGGAAAGACCUUCUUUGGAUUUGAAUAAACAGAUGGACUUUC
This 862-nucleotide long non-coding RNA is filed under the name Homo sapiens (human). RNAcentral's name for it is "novel transcript". The record is from RNAcentral. Lineage: Eukaryota; Metazoa; Chordata; Mammalia; Primates; Hominidae.